This 1144-nucleotide long non-coding RNA is filed under the name Notechis scutatus (mainland tiger snake). Its description in RNAcentral is "lncRNA (ENSNSUG00000012033.1)". Lineage: Eukaryota; Metazoa; Chordata; Lepidosauria; Squamata; Elapidae. The record is from RNAcentral.
AUCAAAUUUCAAGGUUGCAGAAAACACCAUUUCAGCUACAGUACAUGCCUUAGUUAGCAUGAUGUGAAUACCAGGAUAUGCUACAGCUGGUGAACGGACUUCCUUUUGGGAAUGGUAAAGUGAGUAACCUCUAAUGAUGUGUUUCAAAUGAAUCCUUUUACCUUUAGCACGGAAACUCCUGACUUUGGUUCAUCAGACAGGCAGCCAAACGUUCAGACUGGAUUUGGCAUUCUUAUCCACCCAGAUCAGCAGAGAUUAACUCCAGACCAACAAUCAAUUAAACAAUACCCCAAGAAGCUGCUAAAGAAGCCAACAGCAAACAGUUCGACUAAAGAACCUCUAAGACCAUCCUCAUCAAUACACUAGGCAAGCCACUAGAAUAUAAACUGAACGCAAACUGCACUCCUUACUAGCACUGAUGGUGUUACCUAUUUUGGGUAAUGAAAUAUCUGCAAGAAAACAAGCAAGGUCAGAAAGCACCAAGGACCCCUCGUGUCAACCCUGAGCUAUAAACAUUCUUUAUUAUAUACCAAGAAAUCACCAAAGAUUGAUUACACUAAAUCUGAUUUUUUUUACUUUUUCCCAAAUUCCCUGUUGUGCAUGCUUGACAGCUGAUUAAGAAGCAAACAAAACAAGUUAAAAUCUGCAAUUAUUUCUGUGUAGUGUUUCAUGCCUCUGGCAAAUGCAGACAACCUUGAGAUUACAGAAAGUACAGUCUAAAUUUCUAAGGAGUGUCUUUCCAAAUGAAGUGAAACGUAUGCACUGUCAUUCACCACCAUAAGGCUGAUGUGGUCAAACUUGAAACGAAUGUAUGUAUAUUGCUUUCAUAUUAAUUAGAGUUUGUUCCUGCAAGCCUGGACUCUCUGAUCUUGAUUGAUAAUUUGAAUAGCCUUGAAAAAGAUUAAUUCCCCCAAGAAUUUUGAUGAUGAGAGCCAAGCAGGUGGUAAAGAAAAGUGCAGAGAUGACCUUAAAGAAAAUAUGCAAUAACUGAUAGUAAAAUCUGAGCUUACCCCAUGAAAAUGGCCCUAUCUUGAUUUUCUUUGGUACAGCAGGGAAAGAAAUAGAAAUGGUGGCAGCUCUUCAAUAUUGUAUUCUCAGAGCUGCUAUCAAUAAAGUAUAAGUCUAGAAAUUUUUGUAAUGUCUG